UACAGAGGUCUCAAGCGUUGUUCGGAUUCAUUGGGCGUAAAGGGUGCGUAGGCGGCGCGGUAAGUCGGAUGUGAAAUCUCGGAGCUUAACUUCGAAACUGCAUUCGAUACUGCCGUGCUUGAGGACUGGAGAGGAGACUGGAAUUUACGGUGUAGCGGUGAAAUGCGUAGAUAUCGUAAGGAAGACCAGUGGCGAAGGCGGGUCUCUGGACAGUUCCUGACACUGAGACACGAAGGCCAGGGGAGCAAACGGG
RNAcentral lists this ribosomal RNA (253 nucleotides) under uncultured bacterium. RNAcentral's name for it is "partial 16S ribosomal RNA". It matches the Rfam family "Bacterial small subunit ribosomal RNA", at positions 524 to 776 of the family's 1533-position model. The record is from RNAcentral.